UGCCAGCCGCCGCGGUAAUACGGAGGGGGUUAGCGUUGUUCGGAAUUACUGGGCGUAAAGCGUACGUAGGCGGAUUGGAAAGUAUAGGGUGAAAUCCCGAGGCUCAACCUCGGAACUGCCUUGUAAACUAUCAGUCUAGAGUUCGAGAGAGGUGAGUGGAAUUCCAAGUGUAGAGGUGAAAUUCGUAGAUAUUUGGAGGAACACCAGUGGCGAAGGCGGCUCACUGGCUCGAUACUGACGCUGAGGUACGAAAGUGUGGGGAGCAAACAGGAUUAGAUA
RNAcentral lists this ribosomal RNA (279 nucleotides) under uncultured bacterium. RNAcentral describes it as "partial 16S ribosomal RNA". It matches the Rfam family "Bacterial small subunit ribosomal RNA", at positions 506 to 784 of the family's 1533-position model. The record is from RNAcentral.